UCAGCAUAAACAAGCAGUAGGAAAUCCA
RNAcentral lists this non-coding RNA (28 nucleotides) under Mus musculus (house mouse). Lineage: Eukaryota; Metazoa; Chordata; Mammalia; Rodentia; Muridae. The record is from RNAcentral.